GACGAACGCUGGCGGCGUGCUUAACACAUGCAAGUCGAACGGAAAGGCCCUGCUUUUGUGGGGUGCUCGAGUGGCGAACGGGUGAGUAACACGUGAGUAACCUGCCCUUGACUUUGGGAUAACUUCAGGAAACUGGGGCUAAUACCGGAUAGGAGCUCCUGCUGCAUGGUGGGGGUUGGAAAGUUUCGGCGGUUGGGGAUGGACUCGCGGCUUAUCAGCUUGUUGGUGGGGUAGUGGCUUACCAAGGCUUUGACAGGUAGCCGGCCUGAGAGGGUGACCGGCCACAUGGGGAAUGAGAUACGGCCCAGACCCCUGCGGGAGGCAGCGGGGGGGAAUUUUGCACAAGGGGCGGAAGCCUGAUGCAGCAACCCCGCGUGGGGGAUGACGGCCUUCGGGUUGAAAACCGCUUUCCCCUGUGACGAAGGGGGAGUGGCGGUAAUGGGAAAAGAAGCACCGGCUAACUACGU
This 467-nucleotide ribosomal RNA is filed under the name uncultured bacterium. RNAcentral describes it as "partial 16S ribosomal RNA". It matches the Rfam family "Bacterial small subunit ribosomal RNA", at positions 28 to 506 of the family's 1533-position model. The record is from RNAcentral.